Molecule: long non-coding RNA, 5255 nt
Filed under: Helianthus annuus (common sunflower)
Lineage: Eukaryota; Viridiplantae; Streptophyta; Magnoliopsida; Asterales; Asteraceae
Source: RNAcentral
GGUUGCGAUCAUACCAGCACUAAUGCACCGGAUCCCAUCAGAACUCCGCAGUUAAGCGUGCUUGGGCGAGAGUAGUACUUGGAUGGGUGACCCCCUGGGAAGUCCUCGUGUUGCAACCCCCUUUUUUCGUUUUUUGGUUUAUUUUAUUUACCGGUCGAUGUGUCUUUGGCGUAGCAUGCGGGUGGCCGUUGAUGUGGGGAACGGGGCUACGGGGUGCCUGGAGGCGCGCUUUCGAUUAAACACGGUUUACCAUGCCGAAAGCUCGUCGGCGCGGGAGACGGAUAUGGGGAGACAGGCCCGCUCGUAGGCGUUGGACUGACGUGCCCAUACUUUAUUGGAAAGCGUGAGAGCUUAUUGACGUGAGUGGCCGCUUUUGUCAAAGGAAGGCUAUGACGAAGGCGCGCGCGCGCACGACGGGCCCGAGACGCGUAACGUAGGCCACACAUGAGAGCAUAGGUGGGCAUGGGAUCAAGGCGUGGAAAGGUAUAAUGGAAUAAGGAGCUUGUAUUCUUUCGGUUGCGAUCAUACCAUCACUAAUGCACCGGAUCCUAUCAGAACUCCGCAGUUAAGCGUGCUUGGGGGAGAGUAGUACUAGGAUGGGUGACCCCCUGGGAAGUCCACGUGUUGCAACCCCCCUUUUUUUCAUUUUUUGGUUUAUUUUAUUUACCGGUCGAUGUGUCUUUGGCGUAGCAUGCGAGUGGCCGUUGAUGUGGGGAACGGGGCUACGGGGUGCCCGGAGGCGCGCUUUCGAUUAAACACGGUUUACCGUGCCGAAGGCGCGUCGGCGCGGGAGACGGGCCCGCUCGUAGGCGUUGGACAGACGUGCCCUUAGUUUAUUGGAAAGCGUGAGAGCUUAUUGACGGUAGUGGCCGCUUUUGUCAAAGUAAGGCUAUGACGAAGGCGCGCGCGCGCACGGUGCGCUUGAGACGCGUAACGCAGGCCACACAUGAGAGCAUAGGUGGGCAUGGGUUCAAGGCAUGGAAAGGUAUAAAGGAAUAAGGAGCUUGUAUUCUUUCGGUUGCGAUCAUACCAGCUCGAAUGCACCGGAUCCCAUCAGAACUUCGCAGUUAAGCGUGCUUGGGGGAGAGUAUUACUAGGAUGGGUGACCCCUGGGAAGUCCUCAUGUUGCAACCCCCGUUUUCUCGUUUCUUGGUUAUUUUAUUUACCGGUCGAUGUGUCUUUGGCGUAGCAUGCGGGUGGCUGUUGAUGUGGGGAACGGGGCUACGGGGUGCCCGGAGGCGCGCUUUCGAUUAAACUAGGUUUACCGUGCCGAAGGCUCGUCGGCGCGGGAGACAGAUAUGGGGAGACGGGCCCGCUCGUAGGCUUUGGACUGACGUGCCCUUAGUUUAUUGGAAAGCGUGAGAGCUUAUUGACGGGAGUGGCCACUUUUGUCAAAGGAAGGCUAUGACGAAGGCGCGCGCGCGCACGGUGGACCCAAGACGCGUAACGUUGGCCAGGCCACACAUGAGAGCAUAGGUGGGCAUGGGAUCAAGGCGUGGAAAGGUAUAAAGGAAUAAGUAGCUUGUAUUCUUUCGGUUGCGUUCAUACCAGCACUAAUGCACCGGAUCCCAUCAGAACUCCGUAGUUAAGCGUGCUUUGGCGAGAGUAGUACUAGGAUGGGUGACCUCCUGGGAAGUCCUCGUGUUGCAACCCCCUUUUUUUCGUUUUUUGGUUUAUAUUAUUUACCGGUCGAUGUGUCUUUGGCGUAGCAUGCAGGUGGCCGUUGAUGUGGGGAACGGGGCUACGGGGUGCCCGGAGGCGCACUUUCGAUUAAACACGGUUUACCGUGCCGAAUGCUCGUCGGCGCGGGAGACGGAUAUGGGGAGACGGGCCCGAUCGUAGGCGUUGGACUGACGUGCCCUUAGUUUAUUGGAAAACGUGAGAGCUUAUUGACGGGAGUGGCCGCUUUUGUCAAAGGAAGGCUAUGACGAAGGCGCGCGCGCGCACGGCGGGCCCGAGACGCAUAAAGUAGGCCACACAUGAGAGCAUAGGUGGGCAUGGGAUCAAGGCGUGGAAAGGUAUAAAGGAAUAAGGAGCUUGUAUUCUUUCGGUUGCGAUCAUACCAGCACUAAUGCACCGGAUCCCAACAGAACUCCGCAGUUAAGCGUGCAUGGGCGAGAGUAGUACUAGGAUGGGUGACCCCCUGGGAAGUCCUCGUGUUGCAACCCUCUUUUUUUCAUUUUUUGGUUUAUAUUAUUUACCAGUCGAUGUGUCUUUGGCGUAGCAUGCGGGUGGCCGUUGAUGUGGGGAACGGGGCUACGGGGUGCCCGGAGGCGCGCUUUCGAUUAAACACGGUUUACUGUGCCGAAUGCUCGUCGGCGCGGGAGACGCAUAUGGGGAGACGGGCCCGCUCGUAGGCGUUGGACUGACGUGCCCUUAGUUUAUUGGAAAGCCUGAGAGCUUAUUAACGGGAGUGGUCGGUUUUGUCAAAGGAAGGCUGUGACAAAGGCGCGCGCGCGCAAGGCGGGCCCGAGACGCGUAACGUAGGCCACACAUGACAGCAUAGGUGGGCAUGGGUUCAAGGCGUGGAAAGGUAUAAAGGAAUAAGGAGCUUGUAUUCUUUUGGUUGGGAUCAUACCAGCACUAAUGCACCGGAUCCCAUCAGAACUCCGCAGUUAAGCGUGCUUGGGCGAGAGUAGUACUAGGAUGGGUGACCCCCUGGGAAGUCCACGUGUUGUAACCCCCUUUUUUUCGUUUUUUGGUUUUUUUUAUUUACCGGUCGAUGUGUCUUUGGCGUAGCAUGCGGGUGGCCGUUGAUGUGGGGAACGGGGCUACGGGGUGCCCAGACGCGCGCUUUCGAUUAAACACGGUUUACCGUGCCGAAGGCUCGUCGGCGCGGGAGACGGAUAUGGGGAGACAGGCCCGCUCGUAGGCGUUGGACUGACGUGCACAUACUUUAUUGGAAAGCAUGAGAGCUUAUUGACGGGAGUGGCCGCUUUUGUCAAAGGAAGGCUAUGACGAAGGCGCGCGCGCACGGCGGGCCCGAGACGCGUAACGUAGGCCACACAUGAGAGCAUAGGUGGGCAUGGGAUCAAGGCGUGGAAAGGUAUAAAGGAAUAAGGAGCUUGUAUUCUUUCGGUUGCGAUCAUACCAGCACUAAUGCACCGGAUCCUAUCAGAACUCCGCAGUUAAGCGUGCUUGGGGGAGAGUAGAACUAGGAUGGGUGACCCCCUUGGAAGUCCACGUGUUGCAACCCCCUUUUUUUCAUUUUUUGGUUUAUUUUAUUUACUGGUCGAUGUGUCUUUGGCGUAGCAUGCGAGUGGCCGUUGAUGUGGGGAACGGGGCUACGGGGUGCCCGGAGGCGCGCUUUCGAUUAAACACGGUUUACCGUGCCGAAGGCGCGUCGGCGCGGGAGACGGAUAUGGGGAGACGGGCCCGCUCGUAGGCGUUGGACUGACGUGCCCUUAGUUUAUUGGAAAGCGUGAGAGCUUAUUGACGGGAGUGGCCGCUUUUGUCAAAGUAAGGCUAUGACGAAUGCGCGCGCGCGCGCGGUGCGCUCGAGACGCGUAACGUAGGCCACACAUGAGAGCAUAGGUGGGCAUGGGUUCAAGGCAUGGAAAGGUAUAAAGGAAUAAGGAGCUUGUAUUCUUUCGGUUGCGAUCAUACCAGCACGAAUGCACCGGAUCCCAUCAGAACUUCGCAGUUAAGCGUGCUUGGGGGAGAGUAUUACUAGGAUGGGUGACCCCUGGGAAGUCCUCAUGUUGCAACCCCCUUUUUCUCGUUUUUUGGUUUAUUUUAUUUACCGGUCGAUGUGUCUUUGGCGUAGCAUGCGGGUGGCCGUUGAUGUGGGGAACGGGGCUACGGGGUGCCCGGAGGCGCGCUUUCGAUUAAACACGGUUUACCGUGCCGAAUGCUCGUCGGCGCGGGAGACAGAUAUGGGGAGACGGGCCCGCUCGUAGGCUUUGGACUGACGUGCCCUUAGUUUAUUGGAAAACGUGAGAGCUUAUUGAAGGGAGUGGCCGCUUUUGUCAAAGGAAGGCUAUGACGAAGGCGCGCGCGCACGGCUGGCCCAAGACGCGUAACGUAGGCCCCACAUGAGAGCAUAGGUGGGCAUGGGAUCAAGGCGUGGAAAGGUAUAAAGGAAAUAAGGAGCUUGUAUUCUUUCGGUUGGUAUCAUACCAGCACUAAUGCACCGGAUCCCAUCAGAACUCCGCAGUUAAGCGUGCUUGGGCGAGAGUAGUACUUGGAUGGGUGACCCCAUGGGAAGUCCUCGUGUUGCAACCCCCUUUUUUUCGUUUUUUGGUUUAUUUUAUUUACCAGUCGAUGUGGCUUUGGCGUAGCAUGCGAGUGGCCGUUGAUGUGGGGAACGGGGCUACGGGGUGCCAGGAGGCGCGCUUUCGAUUAGACACGGUUUACCGUGCCAAAGGCUCGUCAGCGCGGGAGACGGAUAUGGGGAGACGGGACCGCUCCCAGGCGUUGGACUGACGUGCCCUUAGUUUAUUGGAAACCCUGAGAGCUUAUUAACGGGAGUGGCCGGUUUUGUCAAAGGAAGGCUAUAACAAAGGCGCGCGCGCGCACGGCGGGCCCGAGACGCGUAACGUAGGCCACACAUCAGAGCAUAGGUGGGCAUGGGUUCAAGGCGUGGAAAGGUAUAAAGGAAUAAGGAGCUUGUAUUCUUUCGGUUGCGAUCAUACCAGCACUAAUGCACCGCAUCCCAUUAGAACUCCGUAGUUAAGCGUGCUUGGGCGAGAGUAAUACUAGGAUGGGUGAACCCCCGGGAAGUCCUCGUGUUGCAACCCCCGUUUUUCGUUUUUUGGUUUAUUUUAUUUACCGGUCGAUGUGUCUUUGGCGUAGCAUGCGGGUGGCCGUUGAUGUGGGGAACGGGGCUACGGGGAGCCCAGAGGCGCGCUUUCGAUUAAACACGGUUUACCGUACCGAAGGCUCGUCGGCGCGGGAGACGGAUAUGGGGAGACGGGCCCGCUCGUAGGCGUUGGACUUACGUGCCCUUAGUUUAUUGGAAAGCGUGAGAGCUUAUUGACGGGAGUGGCCGCUUUUGUCAAAGGAAGGCUAUGACGAAGGCGCGCGCGCGCACGGCGGGCCCGAGACGCGUAACGUAGGCCACACAUGAGAGCAUAGGUGGGCAUGGGAUCAAGGCGUGGAAAGGUAUAAAGGAAUAAGGAGCGUGUAUUCUUUCGGUUGCGAUCAUACCAGCACUAAUGCACCGGAUCCCAUCAGAACUCCGCAGUUAAGCGUGCUUGGGCGAGAGUAGUACUAGGGUGGGUGACCCCCUGGGAAGUCCUCGUGUUGCAACCCCC